AUGGAGACGCCAGCGCCGCCCCUCGAGGGCCGCUCCCGCCACCAUAAGCAGGUGCACGCCCACCUCCUCCGCCGUGGCCACCCCUUCCCGCCGGCAGAGUACGCCGAACCUGACCGCGCCUACCUCUCCGUUCUGCGCGCCGCCACCGCGACGCCAGUCCUCGCGCUCGCCGCUUGCGCCUGCCUCCGCCGCGCCGGCUUGCCAGCGCCGGGGCGCCACGCGCUCCCUGCCCUGCUCCGCGCCGCCGCCCGCGCGCGCUGCGCCGACUCUGUGAGGCAGGCGCAUGCCCUCGCCGUACGGGUCGGGGCCGAGGAUGAUGGGUUCAUCGGGACUGCGUUGGUUGGCGCGUACGCGGCGUGCCGGCGCGUGGCCGACGCCCGCAGGAUGUUCGAAGUAAUGCCGGAUCGGGAUCUCGUCGCCUGGGGCGUCAUGCUUGACAGUUAUUGUCAGACUCGAGACUACAGAGAAGCAUUGCUUCUACUCAAUAAGCUGAAGAGAUCAAGAAUUGUGCCUGACCAAGUCAUCCUUGCUACCGUUCUAUCAGCUUGUGGUCAUACACGACAUUUAAGAUCCGGAAAAGUCAUCCACUCAUACAUACUGGUCUCAGACAUUUUUAUCGACGCCCGCCUCAGUAGUGCCCUCUUAAACAUGUAUGCUACUUGUGCGGAUAUGGAGAUGGCCAAGAAGCUAUACAGCGGGAUGCAAAGGAAGGACUUGAUAUCAUCAACUGUCAUGGUCUGUGGAUAUGCUAAGAAUGGAAAAAUCGACAUUGCUCGCUCCAUAUUCAACUGUAUGGUGGAGAAGGAUGUGGUAUCUUGGAGUGCUAUGAUAUCAGGAUAUGCUGAAAAUAACCAACCAAGUGAAGCGUUGAUUUUGUUCAAAGAUAUGCAAGAGUGUGGUGUAUGUCCUGAUGAAAUUACCCUAUUGAGCGUCAUAUCUGCAUGUGCUAAUAUCUGUUCCCUUGACAAAGCCAGAUGGAUCCAUUCGUUUGUUGUGAAUAAUGGGUUUUGUAAGGUAUUGUCCAUUUGCAAUGCUCUUAUUAAUAUGUUCUCAAAGUGUGGAAGUUUGACUCUUGCCUUGAACGUGUUCAAUGCAAUGCCUCGAAAGAAUGUUAUCACCUGGACAAGUAUGAUUUCUGCCUUUGCUAUGCAUGGUGAUGGCAAAUCUGCCUUAGCCCUUUUUGACAAGAUGAAAAGUGAAGGGGUUGAGCCCAAUGGCGUGACAUUUCUUGGUUUGUUGUUUGCCUGUUGUCAUGCUGGCUUAGUUGAUGAAGGCCGUUCCUUGUUUGAAUGCAUGGUCCAGGAAUACAGGAUUGAACCCAAGCAUGAGCAUUAUGGUUGUAUGGUGGAUCUUAUGGGAAAGGCUAAACUUCUGCAGGAAGCAGUUGAUCUCAUAAAGUCAAUGCAUGUAAGACCUAAUGUGGCUGUUUGGGGAUCUCUGUUAGCAGCCUGCUGGAUGCAUGGUGAUCUUGAGCUCGGUGCAUUUUCUGCGAGGAAAAUUUUGGAGUUGGAUCCCAAUCACAAUGGAGCAUACGUGUUUUUAUCGAACAUGCACGCAAAAUCUGGUAACUGGAAUAAUGCUCGAGAGGUGAGGGGAGUAAUCGAAGGCCAUAGGGUUUCGAAAGAAACAAGCUCCAGUCGGGUAGAGCUGAAUGGGAUUGUCCACUAUUUUGGAGCUGGAGGUGAGAAACAUCAGGAAAAUCAUAAGACCCUUCUAAAGCUUAGUGGGAUAAUUUCUAAUUGA
Molecule: ribosomal RNA, 1743 nt
Filed under: Triticum aestivum (bread wheat)
Lineage: Eukaryota; Viridiplantae; Streptophyta; Magnoliopsida; Poales; Poaceae
Description: partial small subunit ribosomal RNA
Source: RNAcentral